UAGCACAUGUUAAAUGUGUUUUUCGUAUUAAGAGCCUUAAAGUUAAUGAACCCAUUUAAGCUAAUGUUACUUCUAUGUUUACAUAUUAAUGGUUUGUUUCUCUCAGUCUCCGGUCUAUGUUGGUAGCUUUUGAGAGACACUACAGUUUACAAGAAUUACCUGUCCAUAUCUCUCAGUUGCCAGAUCGAAGCCAGUGCACAGCACAGCAGUUUCACUUUCAGCCCGCCAGGUGUCGUGUGAGGACUUCGCAGUCACAGCUGUUUCCGCACUGCAUUUUGCACUUUUAACAAAUUGAUGUGAAGUCAAAUAUGUCAACAAAUACGCCUACUUUGACCAUAGUACUUACGCCUCAAAGUCAGCCGUGCAAUUUUCAUCUAAUUGGAUGAGCACCGGAGCAGCAGUUGUUUCACUAGGAGGCCUGACUCUAACAAUGUUUGCGCCAAAAUACAAAGUGCGAACUCCUUUUCUUCGUUUAUUAAAAAAACAAACGAGCUUUUUUUCUUAAA
Drosophila nasuta is the source of this 506-nucleotide long non-coding RNA. RefSeq lists it as uncharacterized. The transcript is spliced from 3 exons. NCBI's taxonomy places the organism in Eukaryota, Metazoa, Arthropoda, Insecta, Diptera, Drosophilidae. The record is from RefSeq and is a predicted model, not a curated record.